UGUUUAUAUACAUACACACACACACACACACACACACACACACACACACACAGUAUUUUAAGAGUAUUUUAGAGUACACAAUGUUCCCUCUAAGCUGCGCACGUGCGCAGAUGCGCACUGCUGGCACGGUAUAUAUAUAUAUAUAUAUAUAUAUAUAUAGAUAGAGGUAAAGACUGUUAAACUCUGAUGUUAUCAACCAUCUGAAACAAGUUAGUUGGCUAACCUCCCUCCGUGCUACUUUGAUCUUGCCCUCUAGCCUCCUUCUCCAUGGAGGGUACUGCCCCUUGUGGCAGAUAGAUAGAGGUAAAGACUGUUAAACUGAUGUUAUCAACCAUCUGAAACAAGUACUCAAUUCACUGGUAUAAAACAUUAAUGGGAAGAUAGAUUACAAGAAAAAAUGGAUUAAAAUGAAUGUUUUUAUGCGUUUAAUAUGAACUACUAAUUUGGUCGUUAACAAUUUAAAGAACAAAAAAAGCUUAAAUCAGAAGUAUCAUAGAUAAAUUGCUUACUUUUCCUUUUAGUUUCAUGUGGCCACUUUGUUGGGUUUAAGAAACAGCACAGUUGGAAAGACGAGUUAUUGUAAAUUAAACUUAACCUUUGGCCACAUCCUCUAUGUUAAAAAUCAACCAUCUACUCUGCACUGUGAGUGUGACCUCAUGUCAGUGGGGUGGGGUGUAACGUAGACUACCACAACUUCCCUGUUCAAGACAAACUCAUCAUAUUACAGAUUUUACACUGCGGUUCAACUGAAAGCAGCUCUCAGGUCAGUGAAGGCAAUGUUUACAAUUAAUGUUGUUAUUUGUAGUUGAAGAGGAGCAUAAAUGUGAUGAAACAGCCUCAUGAGUAGGACAGUCAGUGUUAUGCGAUUGUACUCAUUUCUAUAGUGUUUGCAGUUUUUACUUCUGUAUAAAUGCAGUGAAUGGAAAUGUGUGUAUUGUAAAUGCGCUAACUAUACCUGAUUCUGUUCAGAUUGGGUGAGUUCAGUUUUAUUUAUAUAGUGGCACUUCACACUGGUUGCCUUAAAGUGCUUCAUAUAGUCAGAUAAACUCUAUUAGAAAGAAACCCCAACAGUCACAUAUUACUUGACAGAGACAUGAUGACACAUCAGAAAUUAGUUUUUAUAAAUUUGAUACAAAGAAGCUUCCAUAAAUAAGUUAGUUGUUUGAUCCUGGAGACAGGAGGAGCCUGCUGCAUAACUGUUUUUCACUUUGAUUUUCAGGGUGUCUUUGAAUUCUGCCCUCUGUGGGUUUAUCAUUUUCAUUUGGGUCAAAUGCAGAGAAAAACAAGUAAUUUCUCCACGGGGAUCAAUAAAGUAUACAUUAUUAUUAUUAUUUCAAUCAAAGAUGUGGAAUGCUAUUUUUUUUUUUCCCAUCGGUGUCCAGUGUGUUAUCAAAGUGCUUCUUAAAUCUUUUGCACAGUGUCAGUGAGUUUCCCAACAUUAAAAGAAAAUCAUUUUCACCACCUGCUAUUUCAUGGGGUUCUUUUUGUUUGUUUUUCUGUUUUUUGUGCAAAGUCAGUCGAAGAUUCUUUCAGAACUCCAGCACACAAAAAUGAGAGAGAUGCGCAACGUGCUGAUAUGGAUCUUGAUCUGCAUUUUCCUUUCCAUGACCGUACUGUUCUUCUGGUGUGUGUGCCGUGAGCGGGAGGAAUAAAUGUCCAUCAGUCACUCUGUCAUGACUGCCCAUCCAGAUGUAGUACCUGGCAAGGUGCUCAGAGCAUGUGCCUACCAGCUAGGGUUGCCAACUCCCUGAAAAAUAAAUAAGGGACACCUCGUAGCCGGCGACGGGCGACCCAGUGAUCUUCAACUUCCCAGUGUGGGUCAACGAUAUCAGGUUCCUUUCAUCUAUUACACAAACCUCAUCAUCUGCGUUCUAAUCCAUCACAGCAUGACGUUCUUUUGGGAGAUGAUAAUGCAUGAUAUCAUUGCAUGUUUCUUUUACUAUUUUGCUGUGACGGCCAGUCUUUACUUCAAAUCCUGCAUUGCUCUGGAAAGGUAUUGUUUCAUCGCCUGCCCACUGUUGGACUGCCUCAGACAAACUAAGGGUUCUGUACUGGUCUGUGUUCUGGUCUGGGUCCUUUGUAGUGUUAGUGUUGCUCUUGCUGUAUUUUUAUAUGAAUUUGUACGUUUAAUUAUUUAUGCCGCCCUCCCUGCCCCCCUGUUCAUCUUCUGUCUCGCUGGGACACUUAAAGCUCUGCCUGCUGCCACCUCAGUGCCCACUGAAGAAAAACGAAGAACCGUAGGAACCUUGGUUCUGUUGCUGCUUAAUUACUUUCUCAUAAACCUUCCUGCAGUCAUUCUGUUAACUUUGAACUUUGAGACACACUUCCCUGUAAAAACUAUUGAUUUUAUCAUUAUGAUCUUGUUUCUUUUUAGUUCAUUGUUGGACUUCAUUCUGUGUAUUUUCAUGUGUAAAGGACCCAUUGACAGGCUGCUGGUACGUCUGUGCUGCUGCAGUAUGGAGAGCAACAACACAGGAGAUGUGACUGAUGUUAGCACAGACAGGUCAGAUCAUGUAGUCAGAGAUGAAGGGAAAGAGGAAACAGGGUCACAUGAUGGGAGAGAUGGUGAGGAAGUAGCAAGAGUGAGAUAAGUGAACACCAUCCUUUCCAAAUAUUUUUUAGCUGUCCCCUCAGACUGUCAAUCACCUAAGUUUUAAACGAAAAUGUACAAAUUAUUUUGUAAUUUCUUCUAAAUAGCAUGAAGGUGGUGCAGUGAUUAUGUCACCUCACAACAGGAGAUAUGGUGACUUUUAUUACAUUUUUUUCCUGUCCUGUCCGACAGUGUAGCAAUCAGAAUUGUUGUCUGAAGGAGAAAAAGAACUAAACUGUCAUGAACCGGGCCGCACGGCCAUGACAAAAAACCCAGACGUGGAUAGGAAUGUCUUCCAAGCGAUAUUUUUUAAAUAAAUAAAACAGAAAAGAAAAUGCACUGUCAAAAAACACAAACUGUGGUGUGUGUAGUCAGUACCAUCAGUAGUGUAAGCGAGUGGAUGGGCGGAGCAUGUGCAUGUAAUUCUGUUAAAAGCAAAGUUCAAAGCCCCCCAAAAAACUCUGCCCUAAAGGAUUUUUAUAUAGAGUCCUGGCACACUGGCCCAGGUGUUGCCAGUGACACUGAUUAUAGACGGGAACACCGCCUCUCCAACGCCUGCAAAUGAGACACGCGCAAGGCAAAAGGAAGGCAGGGUGCAGUGGGUCGCCACACGAACAGAUUUACAUUCACAAGUGGAGCAUUACGGCCUUUGCUAUAGUGGUUCACUUGAUAGUCAUAUUUUAUUAAAACUGUAUUAGGGAUUUUUAUUUUAGGUUAUUAUUAUUAUUAUUAUUAUAAUGGAUUGGAUUUAUAUAGUGCUUUACAAUACCACUAUUCAUUCACUCUCACAUUCACACACUGAUUGAGGCUACAGUUGUAGCCACAGCUGCCCUGGGGCAGACUGACAGAAGCGAGGCUGCCAUUAUAACCAAAAGAGACAAGGGCCUGCAGACCAAAACAUGCAGUUCGAUAUAUUUGUGAUGAUAAACUGCCUGUAGGCGUGAAGACUGUCCAGGAUGUCAUAUGACAGCUGGGAUAAACUCCAGUCACCACCAAGAAAAGAUUGAUGGAAUUUCAUCUGAAGACAUCUUAAACUCAAAUAUUAAUCAUCUAAAGAGCUCUUGAAACAUUUUUAUUUUGUAUCAUUGCAGUCAUUAAUUUAUAUAAAUAUCAUAUUCAGUUUUUAUCCUGAAGGACACUUUAAGUGUUGCACAAAUUGAAUUUUCAGUUGCAGUAGAAUUUGAAUUUCCUCUGAUCUAUUCAGUUAUGUAAUGUAUUAUUAAUAAUAUUGUUGUUAAAUGUUGACAUGGUUGUGUUUAGGUUGUGGUUUUUAAAGGUUCAAAAAAGUUUUUGGUGUUUUGUAAGCUGGUUAAAUUUCUUUGAAGCUGCA
Molecule: RNA transcript, 3920 nt
Organism: Oreochromis aureus
Lineage: Eukaryota; Metazoa; Chordata; Actinopteri; Cichliformes; Cichlidae
Exons: 4
Source: RefSeq, a predicted model, not a curated record